CCCUGGUGACUCAAGCAGUAAAGAAUCUGCCUGCAAUGCAGGAGACCCAGGUUCAAUCCCUGGAUCAGGAA
This 71-nucleotide transfer RNA is filed under the name Bos taurus (domestic cattle). It matches the Rfam family "tRNA". From Rfam's summary of the family: Transfer RNA (tRNA) molecules are approximately 80 nucleotides in length. Their secondary structure includes four short double-helical elements and three loops (D, anti-codon, and T loops). Further hydrogen bonds mediate the characteristic L-shaped molecular structure. tRNAs have two regions of fundamental functional importance: the anti-codon, which is responsible for specific mRNA codon recognition, and the 3' end, to which the tRNAs corresponding amino acid is attached (by aminoacyl-tRNA synthetases). tRNAs cope with the degeneracy of the genetic code in two manners: having more than one tRNA (with a specific anti-codon) for a particular amino acid; and 'wobble' base-pairing, i.e. permitting non-standard base-pairing at the 3rd anti-codon position. Lineage: Eukaryota; Metazoa; Chordata; Mammalia; Artiodactyla; Bovidae. The record is from Rfam by way of RNAcentral. RNAcentral also lists the same sequence under 1 other name.